UGGAGGAGGAAGAAAGGACUCUUGUAGAUCAGAUUUUAUCCCAGUUGGUAAAUCCAACCGGAACAAAAGAUUAGAGCUUUUGUCCCGGUUGAUGUUUACUCCCAGUUGGUAACGCCAAUCGGGGCAAAAGCUCCAACCUUUUGUCCCGGUUGGUAAGGUUGGAUUUACCAACCGAGAUAACUGGUUUUGUCCCGGUUGGUAAUUCCAACCGGGGGUAAAGGGUGGUCUAUAGUUCCUGUUGCAAAAAAGAACCGAGAGUAAAGGUGCACCCCAUUCCAG
This 279-nucleotide long non-coding RNA is filed under the name Setaria viridis. RNAcentral describes it as "long non-coding RNA (SVIR_LNC006326)". Lineage: Eukaryota; Viridiplantae; Streptophyta; Magnoliopsida; Poales; Poaceae. The record is from RNAcentral.